Long non-coding RNA from Dreissena polymorpha, 1614 nucleotides. RefSeq lists it as uncharacterized. The transcript is spliced from 4 exons. NCBI's taxonomy places the organism in Eukaryota, Metazoa, Mollusca, Bivalvia, Myida, Dreissenidae. The record is from RefSeq and is a predicted model, not a curated record.
AUCCCCACAAAAUGGCUACUGGCGGGCAGCAGGCAACAUAUUAUGCCAAAAACAAUAUCUUGAAGAACCUCUAAUGCGUGAUACCUGCCCGCCAGAUUGGAGUGCGUUUACUUACAAACAAUGCCCCAAAAACAUCAUAAUGCUGUUGGUGGGGCAGACAGGACAUGGAAAGAGCGCCACCGAAAACAGCAUUCUUGGCAAGAAGGCAUUUGCAUCCAAGCUAUCACCUGCAUCCGUUACAGAAGAGCUUUAACUAGCGUUCGCUAUGAGGAAUGGGCGUCCCAUUGAAAUUGUUGAUAGUCCGGGUUUUGCUGAUACAUCGAAAGGCAUUGACUAUGUAAAUGACAAUCUUGUCGAAGAUGUCUACCAAACGCUUCCUGGGUUUAAUGCAAGUGUAUUCAACUUGUCUCCAGAUAGGUUUACUGAUGAACUGGUUAACACCGUUAAUCUUUUCUUUGACUUCUUUGGAGAAGUGGUCGGAACAUUUUCCUUCAUUCUUUUUACACACAUAAAAUCAAAAGAGAAAUUGAACGAAUACAUAACAAAACGAGAAAACCCCAACGAAUUAUGUGCAGGUUCUUUUGCACUUGAUAGAAAGGUGCGGAAGCAAGGUCAUUUACAUCGACACUGACAAAAAGAAGGAAAGGAAGGAAGUAAUGGAAGAUGUGAUAAUUCGUACUAUUGACGCGAACACAGUGCGGACAGGACAGCAAUAUUUCACCAAGGAUAUGACUAAAAAGUUAAACAAUUUGCAGAUAAAUAUAUUGAAUAAAAAUCCGACCAAAGACCGUGAGAGUUAUAAUGAUAAUGACAGAGUUAAUACAAGACAUCAGUUAGAUGAUAACAAACCCGAGAAAGAUGAGACUGAUGAUGACAUUUCAGAAGGAAAUGGACGAGUAUUAAGAAUGAAAGAACGAAUAGAAAGUAGAAGUACUUCAAUGCAAAAUCAUGGGACAUCAUACAUUAACCCUGAUGGCGUCCGAAGGCUUGCGAACAAACAGCAACACAAAAUCAAAACACUCUUGAAGAAAUGCAUAUUUUUGGAAGUGACCCUGAAAUAACACGCAAAAGUCGAAUUUCAUGAGAGUUUUUAUAAGAUCAUGAUAAGAAACUACUCGAUGGCAGGACACGUAAAGAUUCUGAGCAACAAUCUGCAAUGGCAAGUGACAUAGAAACGGAGCACGGAGAAGGCAAACAAGUAUCAGGAAGAAAAUACGAUCGAUUGAAAGAAGAUGUCAAAAACGAUAGGGUGUAUAUGAACUUGCACGUGGAGUCUUUGAACGUGCAUGGGGUGGCUUUGAACAAUGGAUGCAAAAAUUGAAACAAUUUUUUGACGGUUGAACGGCAUGUUAAUAAAGCAAAAACAAAUAGGCGAAUAGUGAACGCAUUAUUUGUUUUACUACAUUAAUAAAAGAUAAGCGAGUUUAAAUCUAAAAAUUCGAAUAUUAUGUCUAGUUGUAGGUUUGUCAGCCAUUUUAAUUAAAAGAUAAGGACUUUUAUAAUAAAAUAUUUUGUGUAAUCUUAUUAUCCGCAUAUAUGUGACAUAUUGCACCCUUUUAUAAAAAAUAUUAAAACCUUAAUUAUGUGUAAUGUAAUCUCAUCAUAUAUUGCUUA